GAUGAACGCUGGCGGCGUGCCUAAUACAUGCGAGUAGAACGCUGAAGGAGGAGCUUGCUCUUCUGGAUGAGUUGCGAACGGGUGAGUAACGCGUAGGUAACCUGCCUGGUAGCGGGGGAUAACUAUUGGAAACGAUAGCUAAUACCGCAUGACAACAGUUAUUGCAUGAUAACUGUUUAAAAGGGGCAACUGCUCCACUACCAGAUGGACCUGCGUUGUAUUAGCUAGUUGGUGAGGUAACGGCUCACCAAGGCGACGAUACAUAGCCGACCUGAGAGGGUGAUCGGCCACGCUGGGACGGAGACACGGCCCAGACUCCUACGGGAGGCAGCAGUAGGGAAUCUUCGGCAAUGGACGGAAGUCUGACCGAGCAACGCCGCGUGAGUGAAGAAGGUUGUCGGAUCGUAAAGCUCUGUUGUAAGAGAAGAGCGAGUGUGAGAGUGGAAAGUUCACACUGUGACGGUAGCUUACCAGAAAGGGACGGCUAACUACGUG
RNAcentral lists this ribosomal RNA (495 nucleotides) under uncultured bacterium. RNAcentral describes it as "partial 16S ribosomal RNA". It matches the Rfam family "Bacterial small subunit ribosomal RNA", at positions 28 to 507 of the family's 1533-position model. The record is from RNAcentral.